This 68-nucleotide transfer RNA is filed under the name Chinaocerus tubulatus. Its description in RNAcentral is "tRNA-Val". The record is from RNAcentral. Lineage: Eukaryota; Metazoa; Arthropoda; Insecta; Hemiptera; Cicadellidae.
UCAGAUUGUAGCUUAUGGUUAAAGCUUGUUAUUUACAUUAAUAUGAAGAUGAUUUAUUCUAUCUGAUC